AACAGUAAGAGUUUAUGUGCUGCUAGAAAGAAGCUCAGCAUGUAGAGUCUUACAGUGCA
Molecule: microRNA precursor, 59 nt
Filed under: Monopterus albus (swamp eel)
Lineage: Eukaryota; Metazoa; Chordata; Actinopteri; Synbranchiformes; Synbranchidae
Description: Mal-Mir-2184-P2_pre stem-loop
Source: RNAcentral